AGCGGCGUACGGGUGCGGAACACGUGUGCACUGCUUUAUCUGGGGGAUAGCCUUUCGAAAGGAAGAUUAAUACCCCAUAAUAUGUUGAAUGGCAUCAUUCGACAUUGAAAACUCCGGUGGAUAGAGAUGGGCACGCGCAAGAUUAGAUAGUUGGUGAGGUAACGGUCACCAAGUCUACGAUCUUUAGGGGGCCUGAGAGGGUGAUCCCCCAAACUGGUACUGAGACACGGACCAGACUCCUACGGGAGGCAGCAGUGAGGAAUAUUGGACAAUGGGUGAGAGCCUGAUCCAGCCAUCCCGCGUGAAGGACGACUGGCCUAUGGGUUGUAAACUUCUUUUGUAUAGGGAUAAACUACCUCGUGAGGGUAGCUGAAGGUACUAUACGAAUAAGCACCGGCUAACUCCGUGCCAGCAGCCGCGGUAAAUACGGAGGGUGCAAGGCGUUAUCCGGAUUUAUUGGGUUUAAAGGGUCCGUAGGCGGAUCUGUAAGUCAGUGGUUGAAAUCUCACAGGUUAACUGUGAAACUGCCAUUGGAUACUGCAGGGUCUUGAGUGGUUGGUGAAAGUAGCUGGGAAUAAGUAAGUGUAACGGUGGAAAUUG
Molecule: ribosomal RNA, 600 nt
Filed under: uncultured bacterium
Lineage: Bacteria
Description: bacterial SSU rRNA
Rfam family: Bacterial small subunit ribosomal RNA
Source: RNAcentral